Non-coding RNA from Pelobates cultripes (western spadefoot toad), 668 nucleotides. The record is from the annotation of a GenBank genome assembly. Lineage: Eukaryota; Metazoa; Chordata; Amphibia; Anura; Pelobatidae.
GUGCAGACGUCUAGUUUAUUAGACUAACAAUGCCAUUUACAUCAUUGAGAUGUUGAAUCAUCCACAGUAUUUUUUGCUCUGACAAACAGAAAAAUAACAUCUCCCAAUGCCCACUAAUCCAUAUGCCAAGAUAUGAAUUUUUUACAAAAUAUAUUUUUUUAUUAUAUGAAAAUUAUUGCCAAAAAAUAUACAUACAAAGAUAUCAGCAGUGCAAAUGUAGAACAAAUUACCACUACAAGUAAUUUAGAUUAAAUAGCUGUGCAAAUUUUCAUGUAAACUAUAACAGCAGGAGUUAAUAUUUUACAUCCGAAUAUAUAAUUCAGUAAGGUGAAAAAUUAAAUUAGGAACAGACUUGGAGGUAGAUAAAUACACACAAUCUAUAAAAGUAUGCAUAGGUUACAGUUCAAUUAUUGCCUUGCUUUUUUGUAUUCUACGCUAGGAGGUUAAUGCUUCUAUGGACCUUUGAAGUUCUGGAAAACAUCUGCCCCUUCUAACCAUGAUGACAAACAAGCAAUCCCCCUCUCUUUUAUCUGUUUCCUUCCUUUGUCGGUAAUCACUUCUCCAUUUGGUUUCACAAUCACCAGUUUUGGUAAAGCUGUUAUCUUGUACUGGUUCUUCAAUUCACUGGAAAAGAAAGAGAAAAUGAUUCCAACUCAAAGUCAUGAAUU